UACAAGCAGUGGGAGCACGCUUCGGCGUGUGACUGCGUACCUUUUGUAUAAUGGGUCAGCGACUUAUAUUCUGUAGCAAGGUUAACCGAAUAGGGGAGCCGAAGGGAAACCGAGUCUUAACUGGGCGUUAAGUUGCAGGGUAUAGACCCGAAACCCGGUGAUCUAGCCAUGGGCAGGUUGAAGGUUGGGUAACACUAACUGGAGGACCGAACCGACUAAUGUUGAAAAAUUAGCGGAUGACUUGUGGCUGGGGGUGAAAGGCCAAUCAAACCGGGAGAUAGCUGGUUCUCCCCGAAAGCUAUUUAGGUAGCGCCUCGUGAAUUCAUCUCCGGGGGUAGAGCACUGUUUCGGCAAGGGGGUCAUCCCGACUUACCAACCCGAUGCAAACUGCGAAUACCGGAGAAUGUUAUCACGGGAGACACACGGCGGGUGCUAACGUCCGUCGUGAAGAGGGAAACAACCCAGACCGCCAGCUAAGGUCCCAAAGUCAUGGUUAAGUGGGAAACGAUGUGGGAAGGCCCAGACAGCCAGGAUGUUGGCUUAGAAGCAGCCAUCAUUUAAAGAAAGCGUAAUAGCUCACUGGUCGAGUCGGCCUGCGCGGAAGAUGUAACGGGGCUAAACCAUGCACCGAAGCUGCGGCAGCGACGCUGAUGCGUUGUUGGGUAGGGGAGCGUUCUGUAAGCCUGCGAAGGUGUGCUGUGAGGCAUGCUGGAGGUAUCAGAAGUGCGAAUGCUGACAUAAGUAACGAUAAAGCGGGUGAAAAGCCCGCUCGCCGGAAGACCAAGGGUUCCUGUCCAACGUUAAUCGGGGCAGGGUGAGUCGACCCCUAAGGCGAGGCCGAAAGGCGUAGUCGAUGGGAAACAGGUUAAUAUUCCUGUACUUGGUGUUACUGCGAAGGGGGGACGGAGAAGGCUAUGUUGGCCGGGCGACGGUUGUCCCGGUUUAAGCGUGUAGGCUGGUUUUCCAGGCAAAUCCGGAAAAUCAAGGCUGAGGCGUGAUGACGAGGCACUACGGUGCUGAAGCAACAAAUGCCCUGCUUCCAGGAAAAGCCUCUAAGCAUCAGGUAACAUCAAAUCGUACCCCAAACCGACACAGGUGGUCAGGUAGAGAAUACCAAGGCGCUUGAGAGAACUCGGGUGAAGGAACUAGGCAAAAUGGUGCCGUAACUUCGGGAGAAGGCACGCUGAUAUGUAGG
RNAcentral lists this ribosomal RNA (1195 nucleotides) under Escherichia coli. RNAcentral's name for it is "partial 23S ribosomal RNA". It matches the Rfam family "Bacterial large subunit ribosomal RNA", at positions 565 to 1762 of the family's 2925-position model. Lineage: Bacteria; Pseudomonadati; Pseudomonadota; Gammaproteobacteria; Enterobacterales; Enterobacteriaceae. The record is from RNAcentral.